GUAUCUGUAUGUGUGUGUGUCUGCAUCUGUAUGCAUGUCAGUGUUUGCAUAUGUGUAUCUGCAUGUGUGGCAGUGUUUAUCUGUCUGUCCAUGUGUGUCAGUCUUUGUGACCGUGUGUGUAUCCGCAUGUGCGACAGUGUUUGUACAUCUGUAUGUGUGUAUCUGUGAGCCUUUAUCUGUAUGUUUGGCAAUGUUUGUAUCUGUGUUUCUGCAUGAGUGUCAGUGUGUGUGUCUGUUUAUCUGUAUCGUUGUGUAUGUGUGGCAGUGUUUCUAUCUGUGUGUCUGUAUCUGCAGGUGUGGCAGCGUUUUUAUGUGUGUAUCUGUACUUCUAUAUGUGUGGCAGUGUGUGUAUUUGCAUGUGUGUCUGCGCAACUUUGUGUGUUAAUGUAUCUAUGUCUGGUUAUCCGUAUGUGUGGCAGUGUUUGUAUCUGUAUAGCAGUGUGUGUGUCUGUGUGCCUGUAUCUGCAUAUGUGUCAGUGUUUCCAUCUCUGUGUUGAUGUAUCUGCAUUUGUGGCAGUGUUUGUAGUUGUAUCUUUCCAUCUGUAUGUGUGUCUGUGUUUGUAUGUGUAAGUGUUUAUAUCCAUAUGUUUAUAUGCAUGUUUGUAUCUGUAUGUCUGUAUCUGUGUCAGUUGGUUAUUGUUUGGAUCUCUAUCUGUACAUUUGUGUGUGUGUGCAUGUGUAUCAGUGUCUUUG
Molecule: non-coding RNA, 693 nt
Organism: Pelobates cultripes (western spadefoot toad)
Lineage: Eukaryota; Metazoa; Chordata; Amphibia; Anura; Pelobatidae
Source: the annotation of a GenBank genome assembly